This 72-nucleotide transfer RNA is filed under the name Dreissena polymorpha. Its description in RNAcentral is "transfer RNA alanine (anticodon UGC)". It matches the Rfam family "tRNA". From Rfam's summary of the family: Transfer RNA (tRNA) molecules are approximately 80 nucleotides in length. Their secondary structure includes four short double-helical elements and three loops (D, anti-codon, and T loops). Further hydrogen bonds mediate the characteristic L-shaped molecular structure. tRNAs have two regions of fundamental functional importance: the anti-codon, which is responsible for specific mRNA codon recognition, and the 3' end, to which the tRNAs corresponding amino acid is attached (by aminoacyl-tRNA synthetases). tRNAs cope with the degeneracy of the genetic code in two manners: having more than one tRNA (with a specific anti-codon) for a particular amino acid; and 'wobble' base-pairing, i.e. permitting non-standard base-pairing at the 3rd anti-codon position. Lineage: Eukaryota; Metazoa; Mollusca; Bivalvia; Myida; Dreissenidae. The record is from Rfam by way of RNAcentral.
GGGGAUGUAGCUCAGUGGUAGAGCGCUCGCUUUGCAUGUGAUAGGCCCCGGGGUCAAUCCCCGGCAUCUCCA